RNAcentral lists this ribosomal RNA (249 nucleotides) under uncultured bacterium. RNAcentral's name for it is "partial 16S ribosomal RNA". It matches the Rfam family "Bacterial small subunit ribosomal RNA", at positions 524 to 771 of the family's 1533-position model. The record is from RNAcentral.
UACGGAGGGUGCAAGCGUUAUCCGGAUUCACUGGGUUUAAAGGGUGCGUAGGUGGGCAAGUAAGUCAGUGGUGAAAUCUCCGGGCUUAACCCGGAAACUGCCAUUGAUACUAUUUGUCUUGAAUACUGUGGAGGUCAGCGGAAUAUGUCAUGUAGCGGUGAAAUGCUUAGAUAUGACAUAGAACACCAAUUGCGAAGGCAGCUGGCUACACAAAUAUUGACACUGAGGCAACGAAAGCGUGGGGAUCAA